This 433-nucleotide ribosomal RNA is filed under the name uncultured bacterium. Its description in RNAcentral is "partial 16S ribosomal RNA". It matches the Rfam family "Bacterial small subunit ribosomal RNA", at positions 29 to 507 of the family's 1533-position model. The record is from RNAcentral.
AACGAACGCUGGCGGCAUGCCUAACACAUGCAAGUCGAACGAGACCUUCGGGUCUAGUGGCGCACGGGUGCGUAACGCGUGGGAACCUGCCCUUAGGUGCGGAAUAACUCCCCGAAAGGGGUGCUAAUACCGGAUAAUGUCUUCGGACCAAAGAUUUAUCGCCUUUGGAUGGGCCCGCGUUGGAUUAGCUAGUUGGUAGGGUAAAAGCCUACCAAGGCGACGAUCCAUAGCUGGUCUGAGAGGAUGAUCAGCCACACUGGGACUGAGACACGGCCCAGACUCGUACGGGAGGCAGGAGUGGGGAAUAUUGGACAAUGGGCGAAAGCCUGAUCCAGCAAUGCCGCGUGAGUGAUGAAGGCCUUAGGGUUGUAAAGAUCUUUUACCCGGGAUGAUAAUGACAGUAACGGGAGAAUAAGCGCCGGCUAACUCCGUG